CCUUGCCUACGGGGGGCAGCAGUGGGGAAUAUUGCACAAUGGGGGAAACCCCGAUGCAGCGACGCCGCGUGAGCGAUGAAGUAUUUCGGUAUGUAAAGCUCUAUCAGCAGGGAAGAAAAUGACGGUACCUGACUAAGAAGCCCCGGCUAACUACGUGCCAGCAGCCGCGGUAAUACGUAGGGGGCAAGCGUUAUCCGGAUUUAUUGGGUGUAAAGGGUGCGUAGACGGGAAAUUAAGUUAGUUGUGAAAUCCCUCGGCUCAACUGAGGAACUGCAACUAAAACUGGUUUUCUUGAGUGUUGGAGG
RNAcentral lists this ribosomal RNA (305 nucleotides) under uncultured bacterium. RNAcentral's name for it is "bacterial SSU rRNA". It matches the Rfam family "Bacterial small subunit ribosomal RNA", at positions 333 to 655 of the family's 1533-position model. The record is from RNAcentral.